UACGUAGGGGGCGAGCGUUAUCCGGAUUCACUGGGUGUAAAGGGAGCGUAGACGGCCAUGCAAGCCAGGGGUGAAAGCCCGGGGCCCAGCCCCGGGACUGCCCUUGGAACUGCAUGGCUGGAGUGCGGGAGGGGCAGGCGGAAUUCCUGGUGUAGCGGUGAAAUGCGUAGAUAUCAGGAGGAACACCGGCGGCGAAGGCGGCCUGCUGGACCGCGACUGACGUUGAGGCUCGAAAGCGUGGGGAGCGAACGGG
RNAcentral lists this ribosomal RNA (253 nucleotides) under uncultured bacterium. Its description in RNAcentral is "partial 16S ribosomal RNA". It matches the Rfam family "Bacterial small subunit ribosomal RNA", at positions 524 to 776 of the family's 1533-position model. The record is from RNAcentral.